This 496-nucleotide ribosomal RNA is filed under the name uncultured bacterium. RNAcentral describes it as "partial 16S ribosomal RNA". It matches the Rfam family "Bacterial small subunit ribosomal RNA", at positions 28 to 507 of the family's 1533-position model. The record is from RNAcentral.
GAUGAACGCUGGCGGCGUGCCUAAUACAUGCAAGUCGAGCGAACAGACGAGGAGCUUGCUCCUCUGACGUUAGCGGCGGACGGGUGAGUAACACGUGGAUAACCUACCUAUAAGACUGGGAUAACUUCGGGAAACCGGAGCUAAUACCGGAUAAUAUAUUGAACCGCAUGGUUCAAUAGUGAAAGACGGUUUUGCUGUCACUUAUAGAUGGAUCCGCGCCGCAUUAGCUAGUUGGAAGGUAACGGCUUACCAAGGCAACGAUGCGUAGCCGACCUGAGAGGGUGAUCGGCCACACUGGAACUGAGACACGGUCCAGACUCCUACGGGAGGCAGCAGUAGGGAAUCUUCCGCAAUGGGCGAAAGCUUGACGGAGCAACGCCGCGUGAGUGAUGAAGGUCUUCGGAUCGUAAAACUCUGUUAUUAGGGAAGAACAAAUGUGUAAGUAACUAUGCACGUCUUGACGGUACCUAAUCAGAAAGCCACGGCUAACUACGUG